Molecule: ribosomal RNA, 468 nt
Filed under: uncultured bacterium
Lineage: Bacteria
Description: partial 16S ribosomal RNA
Rfam family: Bacterial small subunit ribosomal RNA
Source: RNAcentral
GACGAACGCUGGCGGCGUGCUUAACACAUGCAAGUCGAACGGAAAGGCCCUGCUUUUGCGGGGUGCUCGAGUGGCGAACGGGUGAGUAACACGUGAGUAACCUGCCCUUGACUUUGGGAUAACUUCAGGAAACUGGGGCUAAUACCGGAUAGGAGCUCCUGCUGCAUGGUGGGGGUUGGAAAGUUUCGGCGGUUGGGGCUGGACUCGCGGCUUAUCGGCUGGUUGGGGGGGUAGGGGCUUACCAAGGCUUUGACGGGUAGCCGGCCUGGGAGGGUGGCCGGCCACAUGGGGCCUGCGGUACGGCCCAGACUCCUACGGGAGGCAGCAGUGGGGAGUAUUGCGCAGUGGGCGGAAGCCUGAUGCAGCAGCGCCGCGUGCGGGAUGACGGCCUUCGGGUUGUAAACCGCUUUCGCCUGUGACGAAGCGUGAGUGACGGUAAUGGGUAAAGAAGCACCGGCUAACUACGUG